This 322-nucleotide ribosomal RNA is filed under the name uncultured eukaryote. Its description in RNAcentral is "partial 18S ribosomal RNA". It matches the Rfam family "Eukaryotic small subunit ribosomal RNA", at positions 1470 to 1796 of the family's 1831-position model. The record is from RNAcentral.
CCCUUAGAUGUUCUGGGCUGCACGCGUGCUACACUGAAUAGUUCAAUGGGUGAGGUAGUGCGAAAGCAUGACCCAAUCUCUAAAUCUAUUCGUGAUGGGGAUAGAAGCUUGCAAUUAUCCUUCUUGAACGAGGAAUACCUUGUAGGCAUAAGUCAUCAUCUUAUGCCGAAUACGUCCCUGCCCUUUGUACACACCGCCCGUCGCUCCUACCGAUUGAAUGGUCCGGUGAGGCUUUGGGAGAGCUAAAUAGACUGUGCUUCACAGAUUAUUUGGCUUGAACUUAGUCAAACCUUACUAUUUAGAGGAAGGAGAAGUCGUAACA